This 358-nucleotide unclassified non-coding RNA is filed under the name soil metagenome. Its description in RNAcentral is "partial contains 5.8S ribosomal RNA, internal transcribed spacer 2, and large subunit ribosomal RNA". The stretch from base 1 to 120 matches the Rfam family "5.8S ribosomal RNA", at positions 35 to 154 of the family's 154-position model. The record is from RNAcentral.
GAUGAAGAACGCAGCGAAAUGCGAUAAGUAAUGUGAAUUGCAGAAUUCAGUGAAUCAUCGAAUCUUUGAACGCACAUUGCGCCCGUCAGUAUUCUGGCGGGCAUGCCUGUUCGAGCGUCAUCACGCCCCUCAAGUCCCCUGUGGACUUGGUGUUGGGGAUCGGCGAGGCUGGUUUUCCAGCACAGCCGUCCCUUAAAUUAAUUGGCGGUCUCGCCGUGGCCCUCCUCUGCGCAGUAGUAAAACACUCGCAACAGGAGACCGGAGCGGUCCACUGCCGUAAAACCCCCCAACUUUUUAUAGUUGACCUCGAAUCAGGUAGGACUACCCGCUGAACUUAAGCAUAUCAAUAAGCGGAGGA